Molecule: ribosomal RNA, 253 nt
Filed under: uncultured bacterium
Lineage: Bacteria
Description: partial 16S ribosomal RNA
Rfam family: Bacterial small subunit ribosomal RNA
Source: RNAcentral
UACAGAGGGUGCGAGCGUUGUCCGGAAUCACUGGGCGUAAAGGGCGCGUAGGCGGCCUGAUAAGUCGGGGGUGAAAUCUUGCGGCUCAACCGCAAGGCUGCCUUCUAAACUGUCAGGCUGGAGCACGGUAGAGGCAGAUGGAAUUCCCGGUGUAGCGGUGGAAUGCGUAGAGAUCGGGAAGAACACCAGUGGCGAAGGCGGUCUGCUGGGCCGUUGCUGACGCUGAGGCGCGACAGCGUGGGGAGCAAACAGG